GGGUGUGUGGAUCAUGGGUAGAGCAUUUAACUGCACAUCAAGAGGUGUCUGGUUCAAAUCCAGAUGUCCCCU
Molecule: transfer RNA, 72 nt
Filed under: Mus musculus (house mouse)
Lineage: Eukaryota; Metazoa; Chordata; Mammalia; Rodentia; Muridae
Rfam family: tRNA
About the family: Transfer RNA (tRNA) molecules are approximately 80 nucleotides in length.
Source: Rfam by way of RNAcentral